Long non-coding RNA from Aethalodelphis obliquidens (Pacific white-sided dolphin), 1568 nucleotides. RefSeq lists it as uncharacterized. NCBI's taxonomy places the organism in Eukaryota, Metazoa, Chordata, Mammalia, Artiodactyla, Delphinidae. The transcript has 3 exons. The record is from RefSeq and is a predicted model, not a curated record.
AUCACCCAUGUAAACAGCACGCAAACAAGCUCUUCUUUAUUAAUGAGGUUUCACCUCACUUUUUUAUCUCUGAAAAUUGUAUUCAGUUCCUCUCCCCACAAAGUUUUAGCCUAAUGUACUAUAUUCUUAUGCCUGAAAAUCUCUUAUUGAUCACACCAUCUUCUCUGUACCAAAAACUAUGGAUGUAAACUGGCUUUAAAAUUUUCUGUGAUCAUAAGUCACUAAGUGUUUUUAAAAUGUUAUUCUGGAAAGUUAUGAUUACAAAUAUUAGUAUGUGAUUGAUCAAAACUAUAAAUAUUACAAAUAUUGAUAGAUACUGAUUAAACAAAAUGUUACUAUAUAUUUCAUUUUUUUAUGAGUUGAUUGGAUUUCCCCCAUUGUGUGUACCCAUGGAUAAAUACGAAGCUUAUUUCUACAGCUUCAUUUCUUCCUCAUUCUCAUUUUUACAGGUAUAAGCACUCAGAAAUCUUGUCACAUAAAUAAGGAAUAGAAAUGAAAGGAAGGAGUAUUGGAGCAAUGUUACUCAAUUAUUUUAACUCCCUUUGAGCUUUAUGCUCAAAAUCAAUAGUAAUCCAUCAUCAAGAAUUAUUUUUUGUUGCAACUUGGUGAUAGGUAAAUGAGAGUUCCUUAUACUAUUUGUGUAUGUUUCCAUUUAUCAUAAUAUAAGUUAAAGACGCUAUGUUUACUCUCUAUUGGCUGACAAAAGGAUUGGGCCCUCCUGCAAUUUUGUUGCAAGCAAAAAAUAGAAACUACUCGACUGGCCAAAGGAUUUGUCUCCCAGUACUCUAAGCUCUUUUUCCUCUCCAGUCCCAGAGCAGGACUUCCAACUGGCCUUGCCAGUUGGGAGCAUUUGUCUUUCUUUCCCAAAGCAAGAAGCUGCUUUCUCAGGGAGUCAGUGCCCCAUUUGAAGACUGUGGUGGAUGACUGUAAUGGACCCCUUGGCCAAGGACCUGGGGAAGUGGGUCAGACCAGGAAGAAUGAAAGAAAGAUUCCAUCUCAGAAUUUCUGGAGGCCAGAAGUCCAAGAUCAAGGUGUCGGCAGGUGCCUACUGUGUGCAGUGCUGCGCCCACGGGAGAGGCAGCCAAGGCCUAGAGGCAGAGCCCAGGCCCUGGGCGUGCUGACUCGGGACUUCUCCUCCUCCGGCCCUUCCUCCCAACUCCUGGCUGCGGAGCCUGACCCCCACUUGGACAAACAUCUUGCGGCCAUUUCCGCCUCGCCUGCCCGGAGCCCCAGCCUGGCCUGAACAAACACUCGGGACCUGUGCUUCCGGCCUCAGCUCUGGGAAAAGCCCAGCCAGGGGCCAUUGAGGUCAACCCUGGAGGGAAGUGGGAAGGAGGCACCAGGGGCCUAAUCACACCCAUCUCAGAGGACCCUAGGGGGGCAAGAAGCACCCUCUGGGCCUGGCACCAAGAGGGGGACACUGCCCACAGGGCUGUGAGAGGCCUGGGGAGGGUGCUCCAAGGGACUCCCCCAAGGGACCACAGUGCUAGAAGAACCUCCCUCCUGUGGCUUCCCCAUUCUUGUUCCCUUUUUUUUUUAAAUUAAUUUAUUUAAUUUAUUUAUUUUUG